GCCCUCGUAGUCUAGUUUGGAUAGGACAGAGGCCUGCGGAGCCUCGAACUGGGGUUCAAAUCCCCACGAGGGCG
RNAcentral lists this transfer RNA (74 nucleotides) under Methanobacteriota archaeon. RNAcentral describes it as "Euryarchaeota archaeon tRNA-Arg". It matches the Rfam family "tRNA". Rfam says of the family: Transfer RNA (tRNA) molecules are approximately 80 nucleotides in length. Their secondary structure includes four short double-helical elements and three loops (D, anti-codon, and T loops). Further hydrogen bonds mediate the characteristic L-shaped molecular structure. tRNAs have two regions of fundamental functional importance: the anti-codon, which is responsible for specific mRNA codon recognition, and the 3' end, to which the tRNAs corresponding amino acid is attached (by aminoacyl-tRNA synthetases). tRNAs cope with the degeneracy of the genetic code in two manners: having more than one tRNA (with a specific anti-codon) for a particular amino acid; and 'wobble' base-pairing, i.e. permitting non-standard base-pairing at the 3rd anti-codon position. RNAcentral also lists the same sequence under 1 other name. The record is from RNAcentral. Lineage: Archaea; Methanobacteriati; Methanobacteriota.